UACGGGAAGGGCAAGCGUUAUUCGGAAUUACUGGGUGUAAAGGGUGCGUAGAUGGUUAAAAAUAACUAAAAUAUAAAAAGUAGUGCCCAACAUUAUUAAGCGUUUUAGUAUUUUUUAUCUUGAGUUUAAAAGACGAUUAUAGAAUUUUAGGUGUAGCAGUAAAAUGCGUAAAGAUCAGAUAGAACACCAAUGGCGAAGGCAGUCAACUGGUCCGUUACUGACGCUAAAGCACGAAAGUGUGGGGAGCGAACAGG
This 254-nucleotide ribosomal RNA is filed under the name uncultured bacterium. Its description in RNAcentral is "partial 16S ribosomal RNA". It matches the Rfam family "Bacterial small subunit ribosomal RNA", at positions 524 to 776 of the family's 1533-position model. The record is from RNAcentral.